UGAUGUCUUCUGGUCUCUUGCAGACUCAUGGUGACAGACUGCGACCUUUGGCCUAUUUUUCAACGAAACUUGAUGCUGUAGCUGCAGGACUUCCACACUGCCUGAGAGCAGCGGCAGCGGCCGAGCUGGCUGUGAUGGCCUCGAGAGAAUUUAAGCUACUCUGAUUUGACUUCAAUGGUUCCACACGCAGUAUCCAUGAUUUUGCAAGAGCAGAGAACGUCACAUUUGUCUACAGCCCGAUGGCUGAGGUAUCAUACAAUUUUGUUGGACAUGCCAAACAUAACUGUAAAAUGAUGCACAACUUUGAAUCCUGCUACCCUUCUGCCCACACAGGAGGAUGGCGAGGAAAAUCACUGUUGUCUGUCAGUGCUCGAAAAGGUGUGCACACCACAUCCAGACCUUUUAGACAUACCGCUUGAUAAUUGUGACAAUGUCCUGUUUGUGGAUGGGUCUGCCUCGAAAAAUCCACAAACAGGUCAAAAUAAAGUGGAUUAUGCUGUAACGACCGAAUUUGAAACUCUGAUGUCUGACAAAUUACACUAUUCUGCACAGUCAGCGGAACUGGUUGCAUUGACCGAAGCGUGUAAACUGACUUGCGAUACGCUUUCGGGGUCACACAUGACUUUAGUGCUUUGUGGAAGCACAGAAAAU
Molecule: long non-coding RNA, 651 nt
Organism: Carassius carassius (crucian carp)
Lineage: Eukaryota; Metazoa; Chordata; Actinopteri; Cypriniformes; Cyprinidae
Exons: 2
Source: RefSeq, a predicted model, not a curated record